This 88-nucleotide transfer RNA is filed under the name Xylaria palmicola. Its description in RNAcentral is "tRNA-Val". Lineage: Eukaryota; Fungi; Ascomycota; Sordariomycetes; Xylariales; Xylariaceae. The record is from RNAcentral.
AGUCGUAUGGUCUAAUGGUUAUGAUUUCUCGUUCACAUCAUGUGUUCUUGUCCCGAGAAGGUUCCGUGUUCGAUCCACGGUACGACUA